Molecule: ribosomal RNA, 468 nt
Filed under: uncultured bacterium
Lineage: Bacteria
Description: partial 16S ribosomal RNA
Rfam family: Bacterial small subunit ribosomal RNA
Source: RNAcentral
GACGAACGCUGGCGGCGUGCUUAACACAUGCAAGUCGAACGGAAAGGCCCUUCUUUUGUGGGGUUCUCGAGUGGCGAACGGGUGUGUAACACGUGUGUAACCUGCCCUUGACUUUGGGAUAACUUCAGGUAACUGGGGCUAAUACCGGAUAGGAUCUCCUGCUGCAUGUUGGGGUUUGGAAAGUUUCGGCGGUUGGGGAUGGACUCGCGGGUUAUCAGCUUGUUGGUGGGGUAGUGGCUUACCAAGCCUUUGACGGGUAGCCGGCCUGAGAGGGUUACCGGGAACAAUGGGACUGAGAGACGGAGCAGAAGACAACGGGAGGCAGAAGGGGGGAAUAGUGCAAAAUGGGGGGAAGACUGAUGCAGAAAAGCCGCGGGCGGGAUGAAGGGCUACGGGUUGAAAAACGAAUUAGAAUGAGACGAAGAGAGAGUGACGGUAAUGGGUAAAGAAGCACCGGCUAACUACGUG